GCGGGCUCGGCACCGCCUCGGCGGGCGCAGAACGCACGAGCCCAGCGGGAGCCCGGCCCCCACCUUCAGCCCGGCGAGUAACCGACUUGGCCCCCUCCCUCGGAAGGGCGGGGCCACGGCUGGAGGGACGGGCUGGGGCGGGACCGUAACGCCCGCGGGGCCGGAGCUCCUCAGACGCUUCGUAAGACGCGCCUGCUUAUAGGCUGCGACGGAGGUAGGCGUCUCGGACUUGAAGACGGCCUCGACAGCAGAGCUCUCUCAUUGGUCGGUAAGAGAAAACAAAGCGGAGGUCUGAUUGGCGAGAGCUCUGUAGCUCCUCUCCCUCUCCCCUCAAUCAUCGGAAGCUCCGCCCCUACCCGCUUGGUUCCCAGGUGGCUGCCGAAUGCGUUGUCUGGCAGACCUGCAACGUCUCCGAAGCGAAGAAACCCGGAUACCCAGGUUUCUUUGCCAGAGUCACCAAAGAAGUGGACAUUCAUUCACCAGGCCAGCCUAUCAGGCAUAGAUCUAAAUUAGGACAGAGCUGAAGCCCUCGGAGUGAGAGAUCUGUUCUACCAGUUCCGGCCUUUAGCGUGCUUCUGACCAUGGCUUUCUCUUUACUGGUUGAACUCACACCAUUACCAGAUAUCUGUAAGAAAAGAGAGCCCCCCCCCACCCCCCGACCCUGCACUGUGGAGGGCUAAUCAGUGGAAAUGCUGAGAAUGUCAAAAUAUCUUGGUGCAUCCAGCUGGUAGUGGCAGGUGAAUCAAAAGAUGCAGCAACUAAAUAAGUUAAAAAGUAAAUAAAAAAUGUAACCACUGAAAUGUAUGGCACAAUGCUUCAAAGCCACUGAAAAGUAAUCUCUGUGCCCCAAUAAUAGAGUUCAAAGAUUAAUGCUUAAGACAGAGGGGUAACGUAGAAUCCAAGGGCAAAGAAAGUCAGUCUUGACUUGAAAGACAAGAGAAACUUGGCUGUAGUUUUCUCUGUCUUCAAACCAGCCUCUUUCUACUCUCCUAUUCUCUAGAAAAUAGCUUUCGGGGCUCCAAAGUAGUCAAAGUGAAGCUACCUUAGUGCUCUCCAACCCCCAACCUAAUCAACUACUUUGACACAAUCCCAAAUUCUACGGAGAGAAAAUACGAGUGGCUAUGCCUGGUCCGUCUCCACUCUAUCCCACCACCUGUGAUCAUGGAGGUGUGGGGAGAGUGGGGACCACCAACGUGGCUGCCAGGGCCCAUCUCUGUUGACAGCCAGUGAUUUCCCAGAGAACAGGCACUAGACAGAUUGCCAGAUAGGCAUGCAUCCUGCCCCCGCUACCCAACGUUUUGUGGAGUCAGUCAGUGGGGCUCCAUUAUCUAUUCAGUGAAAGUCUUUGCCUGUCCUUUCACACUAAGACGGAGGCCCAGAGGCCAAGACCAAAGUCUUCGAUGGUGACUGCCGGCUUUCUUGAAAUCUGUUUAUUUCAGUUGGCUUCCAGACACGAAGUACCCCUGUCUCUUCCACUUUCGAGCUGCCAUUCCCAUUUAAGUCUUCUACUGAUUCCCAAUUUCCCUGUGUCAAGUAUACCUCCUGACACUGAUUUACCUAAAGAGCAAAAGCACCUGCCAGGUUGGUGAAUAUCCGUGAACACUGCUCUCGGCUCAGCUGAAACCAGCACGAAGAACAGUCAGGACCAAUGAAACGAUACAAGCAGAAGGUGGACCUUCACCUGCCCAUGUUCCUUCGACACUCACUCAGAUGAACAUGUGGGCAGUCCCAUAACUUCUCUGAUAGCUUUUAGAUAACAAAAAUCCUUUGAUCAGUUUAAGCCAUAAAAUAUAGUUUUCACUGAGAAAUUUUCAUAUGAAUGCCAAUACACUUUGAUCAACACUUCAAGCUUCAUUCAGAUAGGCCUUCCCUCCACUCCCUCAGCCAGGGUCCCAGGCAGGCUGGGUCCUCCCAGGAAGGGGAGAAGGAACCGCCUCCAAAUUCACAAGGUAAGGAGAGGAGAGUACUCCAAAGAUCCGGCAUCUGUGCUCAGCUCUUCCUGCUGCGGGGAGACGGGGAGACGGGGAGACGUUGCUCUGGGCCUGGCCAAGGACUGACUACACGGAGCACUUCCCCUCUCAGGUGCUUUCUAACAAUCUUAGAGACCUGAACUUGAAACAUCUGACUUUGUCUCUCCUG
This is a long non-coding RNA of Felis catus (domestic cat), 2139 nucleotides long. RefSeq lists it as uncharacterized. Lineage: Eukaryota; Metazoa; Chordata; Mammalia; Carnivora; Felidae. The record is from RefSeq and is a predicted model, not a curated record. The transcript has 3 exons.